UGCAAUUGGAAUGAGUACAAUUUAAAUCCCUUAACGAGGAUCAAUUGGAGGGCAAGUCUGGUGCCAGCAGCCGCGGUAAUUCCAGCUCCAAUAGCGUAUAUUAAAGUUGUUGCAGUUAAAACGUCCGUAGUCAAACUUUAGUCUUACCGGCGCGGUGGCCUGGUCUUCAUUGACCAAGCUCGCUGUCGCUGGAGACUCCACGUCCGCUUUCUUCUAGUCUUCGGGCUAGGAUUUUGUGGACAAUUACCAUGAGCAAAUCAGAGUGUUUAAAGCAGGCUUUUAAGCUUGAAUGUGUUAGCAUGGAAUAAUGAAAUAUGACUUUAGUCCUAUUUUCGUUGGUUUAGGUACUAUAGUAAUGAUUAAUAGAAACGGUUGGGGGCAUUUGUAUUUGGCCGCUAGAGGUGAAAUUCUUGGAUUGGCCGAAGACAAACUACUGCGAAAGCAUUUGACCCAGGACGUUUUCAUUGAUCAAGGUCUAAAGUUAAGGGAUCGAAGACGAUUAGAUACCGUCGUAGUCUUAACCACAAACUAUGCCGACUAGAGAUUGGGCGUGUUUCUUAUGACUCGCUCAGCAUCUUAGCGAAAGU
Molecule: ribosomal RNA, 587 nt
Filed under: Rhizopus homothallicus
Lineage: Eukaryota; Fungi; Mucoromycota; Mucoromycetes; Mucorales; Rhizopodaceae
Description: SSU rRNA
Rfam family: Eukaryotic small subunit ribosomal RNA
Source: RNAcentral